RNAcentral lists this ribosomal RNA (200 nucleotides) under uncultured bacterium. RNAcentral's name for it is "partial 16S ribosomal RNA". It matches the Rfam family "Bacterial small subunit ribosomal RNA", at positions 8 to 206 of the family's 1533-position model. The record is from RNAcentral.
AGAGUUUGAUCCUGGCUCAGGACGAACGCUGGCGGCGUGCUUAAUACAUGCAAGUCGAGCGGUAAUGCUCCUUCGGGAACAUUACAGCGGCGGACGGGUGAGUAACGCGUGGGCAAUCUGCCCUCUAGCCUGGGAUAACAGUUCGAAAGGACUGCUAACACCGGAUAUGCUCACAGCCUGGCAUCAGGCGGUGAGGAAAG